RNAcentral lists this ribosomal RNA (261 nucleotides) under uncultured eukaryote. RNAcentral's name for it is "partial small subunit ribosomal RNA". It matches the Rfam family "Eukaryotic small subunit ribosomal RNA", at positions 570 to 908 of the family's 1831-position model. The record is from RNAcentral.
GCACCCGCGGUAAUUCCAGCUCCAAUAGCGUAUAUUAAAGUUGUUGCAGUUAAAAAGCUCGUAGUUGGAUUUCUAGAUAAGUGGGCACUUGUGCUUUGCUUGUCUACCAGUCUUAGACUGUUACUGUGAGAAAAUUAGAGUGUUUCAAGCAGGCUGUUGCAGGAAUACAUUAGCAUGGAAUAACGAAUGUGUCCGGAAUAUUGGUUAAUUCUAGAUUACGAUUAAUAGGGACAGUUGGGGGCAUUAGUAUUUAAUUGUCAG